CAGCAGUCGCCACGGGAAUACGGAGGGUGCGAGCGUUGUCCGGAUUUAUUGGGUUUAAAGGGUGCGUAGGUGGCUUUAUAAGUCAGUGGUGAAAUACAGCCGCUCAACGGUUGAGGUGCCAUUGAUACUGUAGAGCUUGAAACAAGUGGAGGCUGCCGGAAUGGAUGGUGUAGCGGUGAAAUGCAUAGAUAUCAUCCAGAACACCGGUUGCGAAGGCAGGUGGCUACGUUUGAUUUGACACUGAGGCACGAAAGCAUGGGGAGCAAACAGGAUUAGAUACCCCGGUAGUCCCUGUCUCUUAUAC
RNAcentral lists this ribosomal RNA (304 nucleotides) under uncultured bacterium. RNAcentral's name for it is "partial 16S ribosomal RNA". It matches the Rfam family "Bacterial small subunit ribosomal RNA", at positions 506 to 807 of the family's 1533-position model. The record is from RNAcentral.